UUAAAAACGUUGAAAACUAAUCGCGCCUCGGUAUCCCGUCUUUAAUUGGUCCGUAAACUUUGUAGUGUUUGAAAUUUGACAAUAUUUUCACGUA
RNAcentral lists this small RNA (94 nucleotides) under Arabidopsis thaliana (thale cress). RNAcentral's name for it is "ATSL308260". Lineage: Eukaryota; Viridiplantae; Streptophyta; Magnoliopsida; Brassicales; Brassicaceae. The record is from RNAcentral.